Molecule: unclassified non-coding RNA, 172 nt
Filed under: uncultured Exophiala
Lineage: Eukaryota; Fungi; Ascomycota; Eurotiomycetes; Chaetothyriales; Herpotrichiellaceae
Description: sequence contains ITS2
Source: RNAcentral
UCACCCCUCAAGCCCCCGGCUUGGUGUUGGACGGUUUGGUUUAGGUACCCCUAGAUCCCUCCUAAAGACAAUGACGGCGGCUGUUGAACCCCCGGUACACUGAGCUUCUUAACUGAGCACGUAUCGGAUCUAGGGUUUGGCGGCACCCGGUCUCUACCUUUUUUGCUUACAA